This 751-nucleotide ribosomal RNA is filed under the name Micromonospora maritima. Its description in RNAcentral is "bacterial SSU rRNA". It matches the Rfam family "Bacterial small subunit ribosomal RNA", at positions 141 to 905 of the family's 1533-position model. Lineage: Bacteria; Bacillati; Actinomycetota; Actinomycetes; Micromonosporales; Micromonosporaceae. The record is from RNAcentral.
GGAUAACCCCGGGAAACCGGGGCUAAUACCGAAUAUGACCUCCGAUCGCAUGGUUGGUGGUGGAAAGUUUUUCGGCUUGGGAUGGGCUCGCGGCCUAUCAGCUUGUUGGUGGGGUGAUGGCCUACCAAGGCGACGACGGGUAGCCGGCCUGAGAGGGCGACCGGCCACACUGGGACUGAGACACGGCCCAGACUCCUACGGGAGGCAGCAGUGGGGAAUAUUGCACAAUGGGCGGAAGCCUGAUGCAGCGACGCCGCGUGAGGGAUGACGGCCUUCGGGUUGUAAACCUCUUUCAGCAGGGACGAAGCGUAAGUGACGGUACCUGCAGAAGAAGCGCCGGCCAACUACGUGCCAGCAGCCGCGGUAAGACGUAGGGCGCGAGCGUUGUCCGGAUUUAUUGGGCGUAAAGAGCUCGUAGGCGGCUUGUCGCGUCGACCGUGAAAACCUGGGGCUCAACCCCAGGCCUGCGGUCGAUACGGGCAGGCUAGAGUUCGGUAGGGGAGACUGGAAUUCCUGGUGUAGCGGUGAAAUGCGCAGAUAUCAGGAGGAACACCGGUGGCGAAGGCGGGUCUCUGGGCCGAUACUGACGCUGAGGAGCGAAAGCGUGGGGAGCGAACAGGAUUAGAUACCCUGGUAGUCCACGCUGUAAACGUUGGGCGCUAGGUGUGGGGGGCCUCUCCGGUUCCCUGUGCCGCAGCUAACGCAUUAAGCGCCCCGCCUGGGGAGUACGGCCGCAAGGCUAAAACUCAAA